This 74-nucleotide transfer RNA is filed under the name Candidatus Annandia adelgestsuga. It matches the Rfam family "tRNA". From Rfam's summary of the family: Transfer RNA (tRNA) molecules are approximately 80 nucleotides in length. Their secondary structure includes four short double-helical elements and three loops (D, anti-codon, and T loops). The record is from Rfam by way of RNAcentral. Lineage: Bacteria; Pseudomonadati; Pseudomonadota; Gammaproteobacteria; Enterobacterales; Enterobacteriaceae.
GCACCCUUAGCUCAGUAGGAUAGAGCAAUAGCCUUCUAAGCUAUAGGUCACAGGUUCGAAUCCUGUAGGGUGUA